RNAcentral lists this transfer RNA (43 nucleotides) under Stephanodaphne oblongifolia. RNAcentral's name for it is "partial transfer RNA-Phe". The record is from RNAcentral. Lineage: Eukaryota; Viridiplantae; Streptophyta; Magnoliopsida; Malvales; Thymelaeaceae.
CGGGAUAGCUCAGCUGGUAGAGCAGAGGACUGAAAAUCCUCGU